UAGUCCACGCCGUAAACGAUGAAUGCUAGCUGUCGGGGCCUUAGGCUUCGGUGGCGCCGCUAACGCAUUAAGCAUUCCGCCUGGGGAGUACGGUCGCAAGAUUAAAACUCAAAGGAAUUGACGGGGACCCGCACAAGCGGUGGAGCAUGUGGUUUAAUUCGAGGCAACGCGAAGAACCUUACCAGCCCUUGACAUACUGGUCGCGGAUUUCAGAGAUGAUUUCCUUCAGCUUGGCUGGACCAUGUACAGGUGCUGCACGGCUGUUGUCAGCUCGUGUCGUGAGAUGUUGGGUUAAGUCCCGCAACGAGCGCAACCCUCAUCCUUAGUUGCCAUCACGUUUGGGUGGGCACUCUAGGGAAACUGCCGGUGCUAAGCCGGAGGAAGGCGGGGAUGACGUCAAGUCCUCAUGGCCCUUACGCGUAGGGCUACACACGUGCUACAAUGGCAGUGACAAUGGGAUAAUCCCCAAAAGCUGUCUCAGUUCGGAUUGUCGGCUGCAAC
Molecule: ribosomal RNA, 501 nt
Filed under: uncultured bacterium
Lineage: Bacteria
Description: bacterial SSU rRNA
Rfam family: Bacterial small subunit ribosomal RNA
Source: RNAcentral